This 254-nucleotide non-coding RNA is filed under the name Halobacteroidaceae bacterium. RNAcentral's name for it is "T-box sequence". It matches the Rfam family "T-box leader". From Rfam's summary of the family: Uncharged tRNA acts as the effector for transcription antitermination of genes in the T-box leader family. The record is from RNAcentral. Lineage: Bacteria; Bacillati; Bacillota; Clostridia; Halanaerobiales; Halobacteroidaceae.
UUAACUACGAUGACAGAGAAGAGUAAGUAAGCAGGAGAUUUUUAGCGAGUCAGGGGCGGUGAAAGCCUGAUAAUCGAAAGCUUAUUGAAGAUCAUCUCUUAGUAGUCAAUCUGAAAAAAUAUUCAAGUAGGAUUGACCGGUUGACAGCCGUUAUCUGUUUUAGAGAUAGAGAUAUUAAUUGUUAGGAGUAAUAUUAGCAAAUUAAUAUUUCUAAAAUAGGGUGGUAUCGUGAGGUAAAAAACCUUGCCCCUGAC